Molecule: non-coding RNA, 2466 nt
Organism: Podarcis lilfordi (Lilford's wall lizard)
Lineage: Eukaryota; Metazoa; Chordata; Lepidosauria; Squamata; Lacertidae
Source: the annotation of a GenBank genome assembly
AGAGCCUAGGACUUGCUGAUCAGAAGGUCGGCGGUUCGAAUCCCUGCGAUGGGGUGAGCUCCCGUUGCUCGGUCCCAGCCAACCUAGCCGUUCGAAAGCAUGUCAAAGUGCAAGUAGAUAAAUAGGUACCGCUCCAGCGGGAAGGUAAACGGCAUUUCCGUGCGCUGCUCUGGUUCGCCAGAAGCAGCUUAGUCAUGCUAGCCACAUGACCCGGAAGCUGAACGCCGGCUCCCUCGGCCAAUAAAGCGAGAUGAGUGCCACAACCCCAGAGUCCGCCACGACUGGACCUAAUUGUCAGGGGUCCUUUACCUUUACCUUUACCUUUAUUUAUCUCUAUAAUGGAAGCUGAAAGGCAAGAGGGCUGGCAACCUGAACAGGAGUGCUUGUCACAGAUUCCACUGGUUCUUUCUAUUUCAUCUCUUCAGGGAAGGACCAUAGCUCAGUGGGAGGACACUGAGGUCCCAGGUUCAAUUCCUGGCAUCUGCAGGUAGGACUGGGGGAGACUCCUGUGUGAAAUCCUGGAGAGCAGCUACCAGUCAGUGUAGACAGUGCUGAGUUAGAUGGACAAAAGGUCUGACUCAGUAUAAGGCAGCUUCCUAUGUUCCAGAUUUCAAGUUUCUGCUAGCAAGAAAGAAAUGUGGAGGUUUUGGAAUUAUGCAUAACUCUUACCUGGCAGAGAUUCAUUCAGGCUCCUUUUGGCAUUUAAAACCAGAUUUAUAAUUCAUACUAGUCUUUACACUGGCCCCGGUGAUUUUGCAUUAAGGUAUUAGAAUGAAUCGGCCACUCGUUGCUAUUUGUUGUGGUCUUAUUUAUAGUUUGUCAUUCUGUAACGUUUACAUCACCCUGGGGAAUUAAUUUCCCCUCUAUUCCACAGCCCAGCAGUACUAUGCAUGAUAUUAUACUUUCCAUCUAUAACAGCUUUCAAAUUUGAUAGCCAAACCAGAGGCCUUCAGUGAGUGCAGGAACAUUCUCUUGCACAACAGGCUGUGGAGCAAAAAUUAGCAACCUAGUAUAGGGUAUGAAAAUUCAGUAAAGGCAACAAUCAACUGGAAUCUGUGUCACAUAUGACCUCUCUGUAUGGGAGCUGAAACAAACUGUUACAAUUGGUUAGAAGAAGAGAAGCAUGUGGGAUUUUUGGAACUGACCUUCAGAAUUUGCAUUUCUGUGUGCACGCACCUACACACACACACACACACACACACACACACACUUGUUUACCUUUGCUGUACAUGUGGAAACAAGAGGUAUCACAGAAAUAACACCAUUUCUCAGUACUUUCUCCUGAGACUCCAUGCUGCAUGGGAGAGUUGGGAGUGCAAAUCAGAAACUAACACACUCCUGGUGCUUAGUGAAUUAGUACUAGUGAAAACAUAUGGAGAGGGGUAACACCUCACUAGAUUAGACCAAAAGUCUAUCUUGUCAAGCUACAACUUGUUUCCCACGAGGACCAACCCCACAUUUCAGAUCUACUAACAACUGUCAGGCUUUGUUAGCCGUCAUCAAACCCAUGGUGGUUCUCAGGUCCUUUGUGAAGAAGCUGACUACUUCUCUUGGGUAUGAUGUUAAUGAAAAACAGAGACUGGAGCGUCUUCCACAGCUGCUGCAUGUGCUUGUUAGCAGUAACCUAGAAUUGUAAGAGGCAUUAUGUGCAGGAAACAAAGGCAAGGGAUGCAAAGUUGACCUAAAGAUGACCCUUGCUAAGAGCCUUGCGAUCUAAAGCCAAGAUCUGUUGGUAUGAGUGAGUUUGGAAUAGGCACAUCUUGGACUCAGCAGGGGCUACACUGCUGUAACUUCCACACCUUGGCUCAGCCGGGAAUAAACUCCUGCCACUCAUUCGCUGAAGCAGCCAGUCCAGCAACCAUUCAGAUCUACUGAAUUUUAAUAACUUCUGAUCACUAUUGUUUUAUUUAAAAAAUGUGUUUGGUAGAUCACAAAGUUUGUUGUUGCUGUUGUUGCUGAUAGUAGCUGAAACUGUAAUAUACAAGCAGAGGGCAGGGCCAUAGCUUUUUCAUGAGCUGAUGUAAUGUGCUGGCUAAAGGCACAACCAAGCUAUCCAUAUUUUGGAGUAGGAUUCCAUCACAAAGCAGCAAAUCCACCUUGCCAAAUUAAAGUUGAUUUGGAGGGCUUGCUGAUCAGAAGGUCGGUGGUUCGAAUCCCCAUGACGGGGUAAGCUCCUGUUGCUCAGUCCCUGCUCCUGCCAACCUAGCAGUUCGAAAGCACGUCAAAGUGAAAGUAGAUAAAUAGGUACUGCUCUGGCAGGAAGGUAAAUGGCAUUUCCAUGCGCUGCUGUGGUUCACCAGAAGCGGCUUAGUCAUGCUGGCCACAUGACCCGGAAGCUGUCUGCAGACAAACGCCGGCUCCCUUGGCCUAUAUAGCGAGAUGAGCGCUGCAACCCCAGAGUCGUCUGUGACUGGACUUAAUGGUCAGGGGUCCCAUUACCUUUACUUAUUCAAAAGAUCAGACUUU